Molecule: non-coding RNA, 253 nt
Organism: Pelobates cultripes (western spadefoot toad)
Lineage: Eukaryota; Metazoa; Chordata; Amphibia; Anura; Pelobatidae
Source: the annotation of a GenBank genome assembly
ACCCAUUUCUGUACCUCCUCUAUAGUUUUACCCAACUCUACAACUUGCUGCCGGAUAAUGCUAUCACCCUACUGAUAAAGAUCGCCACGUAGAUGACUAAUUAUGGGUGUUGGAUGCCCAUGCAUGAUUUCAAAUGGGGACAGGGCCAUAUGUCUGGUGGUAGUACUACGAAUAUGCAACAGUGCUACUGGCAGAAGAACAUUCCAUAUGAGCAGAGUCUCUUGGCACAUUUUGGCUAGCUUUAUUGUUCUAU